AGGGGGAUCACAAAUACGGGCCAACAAGUGUACGAGGCCGCAUGUGUUCCAUAUGGGUUGAACCCAUUUGUUGCUAUGGCUACGUACAUUCCGAGCGUCCUUAGCUUUGUCAGGAUACUGCAUAUCGAAGUACUGCCAUGCCGCAGCAUCCAAUUGGUGUACCAUCUUGCAUUGUCACUGUAUCUUUUGCCAUCCUUGUGCUAUGUC
This 207-nucleotide long non-coding RNA is filed under the name Sorghum bicolor (sorghum). Its description in RNAcentral is "long non-coding RNA (SBIC_LNC014986)". The record is from RNAcentral. Lineage: Eukaryota; Viridiplantae; Streptophyta; Magnoliopsida; Poales; Poaceae.